This 497-nucleotide ribosomal RNA is filed under the name uncultured bacterium. RNAcentral describes it as "partial 16S ribosomal RNA". It matches the Rfam family "Bacterial small subunit ribosomal RNA", at positions 28 to 507 of the family's 1533-position model. The record is from RNAcentral.
GACGAACGCUGGCGGCGUGCCUAAUACAUGCCAGUAGAACGCUGAAGAGAGGAGCUUACUCUUCUUGGAUGAGUUGCGAACGGGUGAGUAACGCGUAGGUAACCUGCCUUGUAGCGGGGGAUAACUAUUGGAAACGAUAGCUAAUACCGCAUAACAAUGGAUGACACAUGUCAUUUAUUUGAAAGGGGCAAUUGCUCCACUACAAGAUGGACCUGCGUUGUAUUAGCUAGUAGGUGAGGUAAUGGCUCACCUAGGCGACGAUACAUAGCCGACCUGAGAGGGUGAUCGGCCAACCUGGGACUGAGACACGGCCCAGACUCCUACGGGAGGCAGCAGUAGGGAAUCUUCGGCAAUGGGGGCAACCCUGACCGAGCAACGCCGCGUGAGUGAAGAAGGUUUUCGGAUCGUAAAGCUCUGUUGUAAGUCAAGAACGGGUGUGAGAGUGGAAAGUUCACACUGUGACGGUAGCUUACCAGAAAGGGACGGCUAACUACGUG